UCCCUGGGUAUUGCCAUUAUUAACAAGUCAGUCCCUAUAUUUUCAGAAACCUAUUAAAAUAUCCUUAUGUUUUCUCUCCGUCAACGAAAUAGUCCUUCUGUCUAUUUUUGCCGUUAAAAAUAUAGUAAAAGACUAAAUUACCCCCAAUUAUUUUUCUCCUCCUCCUCCUUCCUUUUCUUCUUCAUCAAUUCUUCUUCCUUUUGCUUCUUCUUCUUCUGCUUCUUCUUCUUCUGCUUCUUCUCCUUUUUCUUCUUCUUCUUCUGUUUUUUCUCCUUCUUCUUCUG
Molecule: long non-coding RNA, 284 nt
Filed under: Manihot esculenta (cassava)
Lineage: Eukaryota; Viridiplantae; Streptophyta; Magnoliopsida; Malpighiales; Euphorbiaceae
Description: long non-coding RNA (MESC_LNC006120)
Source: RNAcentral